GACGAACGCUGGCGGCGUGCUUAACACAUGCAAGUCGAACGGAAAGGCCCUGCUUUUGUGGGGUGCUCGAGUGGCGAACGGGUGAGUAACACGUGAGUAACCUGCCCUUGACUUUGGGAUAACUUCAGGAAACUGGGGCUAAUACCGGAUAGGAGCUCCUGCUGCAUGGUGGGGGUUGGAAAGUUUCGGCGGUUGGGGAUGGACUCGCGGCUUAUCAGCUUGGUGGUGGGGUAGUGGCUUACCAAGGCUUUGACGGGUAGCCGGCCUGAGAGGGUGACCGGCCACAUUGGGACUGAGAUACGGCCCAGACUCCGACGGGAGGCAGCAGUGGGGAAUAGUGCACAAUGGGCGGAAGCCUGAUGCAGCAACGCCGCGUGCGGGAUGACGGCCUUCGGGUUGUAAACCGCUUUCGCCUGUGACGAAGCGUGAGUGACGGUAAUGGGUAAAGAAGCACCGGCUAACUACGUG
This 468-nucleotide ribosomal RNA is filed under the name uncultured bacterium. Its description in RNAcentral is "partial 16S ribosomal RNA". It matches the Rfam family "Bacterial small subunit ribosomal RNA", at positions 28 to 507 of the family's 1533-position model. The record is from RNAcentral.